RNAcentral lists this ribosomal RNA (460 nucleotides) under uncultured bacterium. Its description in RNAcentral is "partial 16S ribosomal RNA". It matches the Rfam family "Bacterial small subunit ribosomal RNA", at positions 338 to 795 of the family's 1533-position model. The record is from RNAcentral.
CCUACGGGUGGCAGCAGUAGGGAAUAUUGCUCAAUGGACGUGAGUCUGAACCAGCCAAGUAGCGUGAAGGAUGACUGCCCUAUGGGUUGUAAACUUCUUUUAUAUGGGAAUAAAAUGUUCCACGUGUGGGAUUUUGUAUGUACCAUAUGAAUAAGGAUCGGCUAACUCCGUGCCAGCAGCCGCGGUAAUACGGAGGAUCCGAGCGUUAUCCGGAUUUAUUGGGUUUAAAGGGAGCGUAGGUGGAUUGUUAAGUCAGUUGUGAAAGUUUGCGGCUCAACCGUAAAAUUGCAGUUGAAACUGGCAGUCUUGAGUACAGUAGAGGUGGGCGGAAUUCGUGGUGUAGCGGUGAAAUGCUUAGAUAUCACGAAGAACUCCGAUUGCGAAGGCAGUUCACUGGACUGCAACUGACACUGAGGCUCGAAAGUGUGGGUAUCAAACAGGAUUAGAUACCCCUGUAGUC